RNAcentral lists this transfer RNA (74 nucleotides) under subsurface metagenome. RNAcentral describes it as "tRNA-Asn". It matches the Rfam family "tRNA". Rfam says of the family: Transfer RNA (tRNA) molecules are approximately 80 nucleotides in length. Their secondary structure includes four short double-helical elements and three loops (D, anti-codon, and T loops). Further hydrogen bonds mediate the characteristic L-shaped molecular structure. tRNAs have two regions of fundamental functional importance: the anti-codon, which is responsible for specific mRNA codon recognition, and the 3' end, to which the tRNAs corresponding amino acid is attached (by aminoacyl-tRNA synthetases). tRNAs cope with the degeneracy of the genetic code in two manners: having more than one tRNA (with a specific anti-codon) for a particular amino acid; and 'wobble' base-pairing, i.e. permitting non-standard base-pairing at the 3rd anti-codon position. The record is from RNAcentral.
UCCCCUGUAGCUCAGCUGGUAGAGCGGGUGGCUGUUAACCACUAGGUCCGCGGUUCGAGUCCGUGCGGGGGAGC